RNAcentral lists this long non-coding RNA (6656 nucleotides) under Sus scrofa (pig). RNAcentral describes it as "lncRNA (ENSSSCG00040002791.1)". Lineage: Eukaryota; Metazoa; Chordata; Mammalia; Artiodactyla; Suidae. The record is from RNAcentral.
AGUUGACCUGUGUGACCUUGGGCAGAUGCCUCUGCAAAGAGCAGGCUGGGCUGCAGUGGGGGUGAUUUCUUGGGUACCCCUCACCAUUGCUUUCCAUAAAAAUGCCAUCACAGAAACUCACCCUGAGUUAAGGGGAAGAGCUCUUAAGGCGAAUAAAUACUUGCUUUUCCCGUCUCCGUUUUUCUCAUUAUUUCUCCAUCAUGUGAGUCCGUUACUUCUGUUCCUCUCUUUUACUCUCUGGUUCGCACUUCCUGCUUCUUCCACUCAUUUUUGCUGUGGUUUCCUCCAUCGUUUCUCCCUCUUUGUCAUUCCCUGAACGUUUGUUAUGAUCUGUAUUUAUUGAGUUAGGUUUUAUAAGCUCUGACCUUCAAUGCGGCCACAUUGAAUGUUUUACAAAGCCAUCCCAACCCAGAAAGAACAGUCCCACUGACAUUUGAAAUUGCUUUUAGAACUGUACCUAAGCCUCAAAGCUGCUUUUCUCAGGGGACCUCGGGAGAGCAAGGUCUCCCCCCCUGCACUAAAACUAGCCCGCAGUGGCAACGACCCUGUGGCCUUGUUCGCCUCCAACAAGGAUGUUAGUGGGAGCUGGUGCGCUGGUGGAGGACGAGGAGGCUCUGCCGAAAUACCUCUCUGCCUUGGUCUUCGAUGGGAGUUGCAAAGAGAUGGACAUGUUUUGAAAAUAAUUCCAGGCUGAAAUGUCGCUGUGAUUACACAUAUGUUCGUAGGUAGAUGAGAGUCAAUUCAAGGUCAUUAAAACAUUAGGCUGUUCGGGAAGAUGAGCUCAGCUCACUCAGAAUUUCAGGUCUAGCAGGUUAGCUUUUUGUAGGUCCAAGAAAAUGCUCCGCUUGGCACCCAGCCGCCUUGGCUGCCCUGCAGAAACUCUGUGCCUUUGAUACUCAGUGAAAAAUGCACAUCUGGAAUGAAAUCAGACCUCAGCCCUCGCAAGCUUCUGCUCCUUGGUAUUUAAUUAUUAUGACUUGGAUGAUGUGACUCAGGGUAAAGACUUUAUUUUUAGCAAUGAUUAGAACUGCUCUGGAUGAGGAGAUCAGGAAUGCUGUUUAUUUUUUUUUAAUUGGAGCAUGUGACUAAAUAUAUUUUUCAACUCUUGAAUGAACAAAUCUGACACUUAAGAAAACACAUUAAAAACGGGCGUUUUUUAGACUGCUUUGGGGGGUUUCCAUAUCUGUCUUCUGAUGUUCUGGUGAAUCGUCGUUGAAAUAACUCUUUUAAAUAGUUUAAAUACGCUUUAUGUCUUGGGUCUGACCUGAAAUUAAGAUGAUAAGAACUAGGAGGAGGGAGUUCCCUGGUGGCUCAGCGGGUUAAAGAUCAGGUGUUGUCACUGCUGAGGCUCGGGUCACUACUGGGGCAUGGGUUCGAUCCCUGGGCCUGGGAACUUCCACUUGCCACAGGCGCAGCCAGGAAAAAAAAAAGAACUAGAAAAACCUCAAGUAUCAACUAGAUCGACCUUCCUUUUAUAAAGGAGGAGACUGGGGCCCAGAGACUAAACCCCUCCAUGGUGUGCAGAAGUUUCUGAGCCAGGGAUCAAACCCAAGCCACAGCAGUGACAACACCGGAUCCUUCACCUCUAGGCCGCCAGGGAACUCCUCUUGAAAGCAGUUUAGAUAUUGUAAGAGUUCAAAUUAAAUGAUGCAGCCACAGAGGGUUCUUUUCCAGUGCUCUUUUUUCCCUGUCUCGAUGGCACCAACCUCACUCCAAACACUGUCUCAGACUUUGAGGCUGAGGACGAAUCAGCCACAGGUCCUCCUUCCAAUGAACUCCUAAUGAGAACUUAUUUCUACAGAUCAAACUGUAGGUGACGGUGUCAGCGUGUGUGCGUGCGUGUGUCUUGUGUCUGCAGCACACCUGCAGGUAUUUUGUCUGUCUCCUUCAAUUAUGAACAUUCUUUCUUUUCUUUUCUUUUUUUAGGGCGGCACCCACGGCCAUAUGGAAGUUCCCAGGCUAGAGGUCCAAUUGGAGCUGCAGCUGCCAGCCUACACCACAGCCACAGCCACGCCAGAUCCAAGCCUCGACGGUGACCCACACCACAGCUCAUGGCAACGCUGGAUCCUUAACCCACGGAGCAAGGCCAGGGAUCGAACCCACAUCUCCCUGGAUCCUUUGUUACUGCUGAGCCACAACGGGAACUCCCUUUAUCUAUAUCUUUAUGUCUACAUCCAUAUUUAUAUCUGUAUCUAGAUAAACCUAGCUCCUUUUUUUGCUGGAGAAAAUCCUCUGACAAAGAAAUUCCACGGGAGAUAAAAGUUUUUGAACGAUUUCAAAUCUAAACAUUUCUCUAUUACACCUGUUCUUGAUGACAAGAUGUUAUAUAUGGAAUUCUAAGUUGGAACUCAUAUUCCUUCCAGAUUUGGAGGGCACUGCUCCGCUCUCCCCUGCUUUUCAGGGUUGCCAUUGAGAAGUUCACAGCCAUUCUCAAAUCUCACUCUUCGGAUGGGGUCUCCCUUUUCCUCUCCUGGAGCUCAUGGCGUUUGUCAUUCAUGUUCUGAAUUUUCAUCGUGGUUUGCCGGGUCCAAGUUGAAUGUCUUCGAAUGUACCCUUCGCAUCUGGAAACUGACGCUUUCAGGUCCUCUCUGCCAGGGUGUAUUGAACUUGUUAAUGACGGCGAAUUCCUUUGCUCGGUUCUCUCUCUUUCUGUGAACCUCAGUUGUUUAGACGUUGAACCCCAGGGAGCACUCCGCUAAUUUUUUUAUCUUUUUUUUCUUGUUUUUCCUUUCUUUGCCUCUACUCUGAUAGAUAGCUACACCUUUAUCAUCCAGCCUCUCUGCUGAGUUUAUAAUUUCCGCUAUCAUGCUUUUCUUUGGAUGUUCCUUUAGUUCAAUAUAAGAUCGUGUCUCCCUGUUCACGGUUCCUAGACUACCUCUUCACCCCUCUUCUCUGAGGAUCUCAGACCCCAUUUCUUUUCUUUUUCUUUUUCUUUUUCUUUUUUUAGGGGUUUCACCCUCGGCACAUGGAGGUUUCCAGGCUAGGAGUUGAAUCAGAGCUCCUUAACCGGAUCCCUAACCCACUGAGCGAGGCCAGGGAUCGAACCUGCAUCCUCAUGGAUGCUAGUCAGAUUCGUUUCCACUGCGCCACGACAGGAACUCCUUAGACCACAUUCUCGAAGCAGUCUCUUCCUGCAGCUUGUUUCCCACGUGUAGAUUUUAGCUGUUUGUUUUAAUCUUGGUCUUAAAAGUUGACCUUGUAUCUACUCAAUGUUAAGCAUGAGGGAGUGAAAAAGCCAAUCUGAAGUUCUGAGCAUGUGGGUGCCAUCCUGAAAAACGGUACUUGCAGGAAAUGAGGAGGCAUUUAAAAUCGUGUGUUCUUGGCUGUGAUGAGGAAGGAGAGGAAGGGGAGAGAAAGACGUUGAUGAGUAUCUGACUUUGAUGAACGGGCGAGGAGGUGUGGCUUCAUGAGUGGACAUGCGACUUAGCCCAUCAAAGUGCAUUUCAGGCCCAAGGAACAGUGAUCACUUAUUCAAACACUGAACAUCUUUGUGUGUCAGGCAUUGCACUGAGGGUACAAUGAUGGCAUAAGGGAGACAGGGUUCCUACUUCCUCGCCCUGGAGAGGGGACGACAGACAAGCAACCAAGCAAUUAAAACCCAGCGUGAGACAAUUGGGGAAGGCUCCUGCCACAUGCUUUGAACUAGAUGUUCCAACGCAAUCUCCCUUAGAAGACACUGUCGCAGAGAUAAAUGGUGUUUCAGGUGUCUUGUGGGUGAAAUUGGAUUUUAUGUACUAGCCUGGAAAACAUCUCUGCCACUGACAUCAUUACAAGUUUCAGAGAAAUUCGUUAAUGUUCCAUUAAUCUGUACUGAAUGUUCUGGAGGCAUUUUGCACUUGAAGAAACGGACUUAAAAACCGCACUUGUGGGAGCACAGCUCUUUUAAAGUUUUGGCACCGCCUACGAUUUUGUGAAUGGCCAAACGUGGAGUUAAAUCAGUACCAGAUUUUCUCUGGUUGGGGAUGGUGUCUCCCUGGAAAGCCUUUGAUCUUUUUGAGCAUUGAUGCUGAGCUCAGAUGUUUUUAACACUGCGGCUUUGGGGAAGUCACUUAAUUGUUUUGUGUGUGUAGACCUGUCUGCGUGUCUUUCUUUCUUUUUUUUUUUUUGUGAUGUGUAAAUGAGUGGAAUGCUGCUUUCUCGAUCAUCUGGACGAGCCAUGUACCUGCCCCACCUGGAGGAUGAUCAGAAAUAUCUCAGCCGUACUCUCUCCAGUGGGACCCAAAGGGCAGUGAAUUAUUGUGGGGAAAUUAACGGAGUAAGAGUUGAGGAAUGGUUUUUCACUCUAGUUUUGUCAGCCGUUAGGCGAGGGUCCUGUUCUUUUCCCCUCCCAGUGGUGGUUUUUCUCAUUUGUAAAUCGGGUCGCUCAGAUCUGACCCGCUGACUUCCCCCACUCACAGAGGGGAUCAAAGGAAGCAGUAAGUGAAAAGUCAGAGGUGGACUUAAAUUGGAGACAUUUUUGCUGGCGACAACCACACCAGGCAUGCGGAGGUUCUGCGGGGAGGGGCGCCCGCACCCCCUGUGUUAGGACCGCAGAACCAGGCUGCGGAAGCCGGCUCCGUAUAAAGGGAUAGAAAGAUGUCCUUGAGUUUUUCCUUCUUGCGCUGCUGCUCCUGGCCUCCCAGGGGACAGGACUCCUUUCCUGCCUCGGAGAGACCUCAGGCUGCCUGUUUGCCAGGCCAGCCUCCUUGCCUGGUGGAGCUGACUGCUCACAACGUGCGGUGGAAAAAGUCCAUCUUCUCCAGCUGUGCGCCCAGAUCAGCAGCAUCAGCAACGCCCGGGUCUGUUGAAAAGGCCGAAUCUCAGACCCCAUCCCACUUUCUUUCUAUUUUUCUUGCAAUGGCCAUACCCACGGCACAUGGAAAUUCCUGGGCCAGGGACUGAAUCAGGGCCGCAGCUGCCACCGACGCCGAAGCUGCGGCAAUGCUGGGUCCUUUAGCCUCCUGCACCAGGCCAGGGAUGGGUCCCACACCUCUGCAGGGACGCGAGCCACUGAAGUUGGUUGCUUAACCCACUGCUCCACAGCAGGAACUCUCCAUCCCGCUUUCUGAAUCAGAAACUCCGGAGGGAUAAACGAGGACUAUGGGAUUAACAGAGAGACACCACUGUAUACCAAAUAGGUAAAGAAAAAGGAUUUGCUGUAAAGCACAGGGAACUGUACUCAACAUCUUAUAAUCCAGAAUGGAAAAGUAUCUGAAGAAGAAUAUCCACAUCUGUACAGAUGUGAAACGAACAUCAUAUUGUAAGUCAACGGCAGUUCAGUUAAAAAAAUAAUAAAUACAAAAGAAUCUCUGAGGGUGAGGCCCAGAGGGCUGUGUUUUAACAGGAGUUCCAGGGCCUUCUAAGGCUCCCUAAAGUUUCCGAACCGCUGCCUCAGAGAUGCACUUUUCAAACUGCAAUGUGACUCAGAAUUGUGUCAAAAUUCAGAUUCUGAUUCGGAGAGUGGGUGGUGAGGCUUAGAAAAGAUUCUCUAACCAGCUUCUCUAACCAGCUUCCAGGCGAAGCCUCUGGGCCACUGACUGCCCAGUGAGCAGCCAGGGCGUGGAGGAAAUAGCUGGGAAGGAGGUACCCACGGCUCAAGGACUGCGUCAGCUGCCAGCUCUGUGGGACCCCACAGGCAGCUACAGUUUUCCUGCUCUAGAAUGGGGGUCAGAUCGUCCCCCUUUGAGACUGCGUGGUUCCGGUUUUAGGAACAACGCUCAGCACAGGCGAUACCUCCAAUUCUCAGAGAUUCGGGGGAACCGGGCCAGUUAGGGAACAAUGAAUAGGGCCGGGAGAAGGAAAUGGCAGGAUCUGAAAGAACCGGGUCCUGGGCUGGUGCGACAGGUGGCAAGGGCGUCCCACCCAGGGACCCGCUCAGGGGCUGGGAGUGUGGCGUUCUUCCGCCUAGGGUCUUGCCACCAGCUUGGCAGCCACUUUUGUGCACGAGCGUCCCUUUGCGUCCCAAGAUGGAGAGUUCCUUAGGGCGGAGGCAUUCAGGCUUGUGCAGGAGGUGCUUCUGAGACUCUGACCCUGCUCCUCGAAAGGGUCCACACUGGAAACAUCACAUCCCUCGACAGCCGCUUACCCCUCCCCUAUGGUUUUUAGGACGACCGCCGCUCCUGACAGGUGGCGCUUUCGGGGUUUCCUCUAACGCAUCCCAGGGGCGGCCUCUACUCCCAGAUCUUUAUCAAAACUCCUGGGGAAACUCAUUCCCAGGUGUGCACACUACUCGGGCUGUUGCCGUAAACCUUCCCAACCCACAAAGCUAAGCUCUGCCUUUUCCCUCCCAUUGACUUCGGCUGCUGUGAGGUUCCUCCCACCUCGGAGCGCAUAGAUGUGGAGGCGACCCCACCGCUGUCUCCGCCAGCUCGGUGAUGGCCCUGGGGCUGAGUGUCAGUAUUGACGUAGAGAAGAGUCUGGGCGGGGUUGGGGGCGGGUAUUCGGCGGGGCGAGCGCACGCUGAGCCGCAGAAAUGUGGUCUGAAAAGAGAUGACACGGACACUUUCCAGCCUGGAUUUCUGCUUUCGUCCUGGGCUUUGUACACAACUGUCUGAGACCGGACUCAGCCGACACGAUCCCCGGUGGUGGUCAGAGACUUCGCUGAACCAGAAUUAAGUGUCCGGCUAUAGCCCUUUUGUUUGUGUUCAUUAUUGCUUUUAUUACUCAUGUCUAUAUUU